UACCGUGAAACUGCGAAUGGCUCAUUAAAUCAGUUAUCGUUUAUUUGAUAGUACCUUACUACUUGGAUAACCGUGGUAAUUCUAGAGCUAAUACAUGCUGAAAACCCCGACUUCGGGAGGGGUGUAUUUAUUAGAUAAAAAACCAAUGCCCUUCGGGGCUCCUUGGUGAUUCAUAAUAACUUAACAGAUCGCAUGGCCUUGCGCCGGCGACGGUUCAUUCAAAUUUCUGCCCUAUCAACUUUCGAUGGUAAGGUAUUGGCUUACCAUGGUUUCAACGGGUAACGGGGAAUUAGGGUUCGAUUCCGGAGAGGGAGCCUGAGAAACGGCUACCACAUCCAAGGAAGGCAGCAGGCGCGCAAAUUACCCAAUCCCGACACGGGGAGGUAGUGACAAUAAAUACUGAUACAGGGCUCUUUUGGGUCUUGUAAUCGGAAUGAGUACAAUUUAAACCUCUUAACGAGGAACAAUUGGAGGGCAAGUCUGGUGCCAGCAGCCGCGGUAAUUCCAGCUCCAAUAGCGUAUAUUAAAGUUGUUGCAGUUAAAAAGCUCGUAGUUGAAUCUUGGGCCUGGCUGGCCGGUCCGCCUCACCGCGUGCACUGGUCCGGCCGGGCCUUUCCUUCUGGAGAGCCCCAUGCCCUUCACUGGGUGUGCGGGGGAACCAGGACUUUUACUUUGAAAAAAUUAGAGUGUUCAAAGCAGGCCUUUGCUCGAAUACGUUAGCAUGGAAUAAUAGAAUAGGACGUGCGAUCCUAUUUUGUUGGUUUCUAGGACCGCCGUAAUGAUUAAUAGGGACAGUCGGGGGCAUCAGUAUUCAAUUGUCAGAGGUGAAAUUCUUGGAUUUAUUGAAGACUAACUACUGCGAAAGCAUUUGCCAAGGAUGUUUUCAUUAAUCAGUGAACGAAAGUUAGGGGAUCGAAGACGAUCAGAUACCGUCGUAGUCUUAACCGUAAACUAUGCCGACUAGGGAUCGGGCGGUGUUCCUUUGUUGACCCGCUCGGCACCUUUCGAGAAAUCGGCAUCUG
RNAcentral lists this ribosomal RNA (1022 nucleotides) under Magnibotryascoma mali. RNAcentral's name for it is "SSU rRNA". It matches the Rfam family "Eukaryotic small subunit ribosomal RNA", at positions 77 to 1107 of the family's 1831-position model. Lineage: Eukaryota; Fungi; Ascomycota; Dothideomycetes; Pleosporales; Teichosporaceae. The record is from RNAcentral.